Molecule: long non-coding RNA, 837 nt
Organism: Xenopus laevis (African clawed frog)
Lineage: Eukaryota; Metazoa; Chordata; Amphibia; Anura; Pipidae
Exons: 2
Source: RefSeq, a predicted model, not a curated record
CCCAAAAUUUUCUGUUUUGGUGAAAUAUCUGAAAAUUGCCUCAAAGCUUCAACUUUCCAGGUUGGUUUAGAGCUAUGUGCUCUCAAGUUACAGUUUCAGACAAGCAUGUGAGGAGUCUCAGCAAUGGAAUUCAGUUUCCACUCACUUCAUCAGUAAAAUGUAAAACAGCACCCUAAGUGGUGACAGUGCCUCUUGUUAACAGUCUCAACCCCCUACUUAAUUCUUACUUGUGAGACUGUUCACAUGAGCAAGCCUCUGUGCAUUCAAAUGCAAAUAAGCUCCAAUGCACAGGAAUACACAUUAAGGGGAUAGAGGUACAGACAACAAAGGGUAGUUGUCUCCAUGAGGAAACUUUCGGCGACUUCAGAAGAUGAAGCACACUGAGUACCAUCUCGGCGGUGAUUCAGAUUCUAGCUGGCGGGAAGGCAUUUCAGGGAGAUUAAUCGCUUGAAGAAGAGGAGCUGAAUGGAUCCAAUAUGAUCCGGCUGAAAAUGGUGCACCAGCAGAAGAGGCAGAGGAAGAGUCAGCAAAACCUGCAGGUCCUCUGGCACCUCCACCUCCUUCUCCCGAAGAAGCUCCCCAUCUGCCACAGGUAGCAGAUGCAGUGAUGCAGACGAAGGACAACCUGCUACAUCACAUAAUGAGGGAGCUGCAGGAGAUCAAGGACCUUAUCCAAAAUUUGAGGGGAAACCCUUCUCCUCCAGCAACAUUUUACAUUUUUCUGCACUGUUGUGCUAUGUAUUGUUUUUAUAGUAAACAUUUGUUCAAACCUCUACAUUUGGAGAUUGUUUUUCAUUUAACUACUAAUCAGAUAGUAAACAUUUGUUCAAACCUCUA